Molecule: ribosomal RNA, 258 nt
Filed under: Escherichia coli
Lineage: Bacteria; Pseudomonadati; Pseudomonadota; Gammaproteobacteria; Enterobacterales; Enterobacteriaceae
Description: partial 23S ribosomal RNA
Rfam family: Bacterial large subunit ribosomal RNA
Source: RNAcentral
AGACCGGAAGGACUGGUGGAGUGCUUAGAAGUGAGAAUGCCGGUAUGAGUAGCGAAAGACGGGUGAGAAUCCCGUCCACCGAAUGCCUAAGGUUUCCUGAGGAAGGCUCGUCCGCUCAGGGUUAGUCAGGACCUAAGCCGAGGCCGACAGGCGUAGGCGAUGGACAACAGGUUGAUAUUCCUGUACCACCUCUUUAUCGUUUGAGCAAUGGAGGGACGCAGAAGGAUAGAAGAAGCGUGCGAUUGGUUGUGCACGUCC